ACCUCAAAAAGAUAGAACCUUCUCGUGGUUUGAGGUGUGAGUAAAUAUUUUUAUUGAAACUAAUCUAUCU
RNAcentral lists this non-coding RNA (70 nucleotides) under unclassified sequences. The record is from RNAcentral.